This 451-nucleotide ribosomal RNA is filed under the name Klebsiella variicola. RNAcentral's name for it is "partial 23S ribosomal RNA". It matches the Rfam family "Bacterial large subunit ribosomal RNA", at positions 1 to 482 of the family's 2925-position model. Lineage: Bacteria; Pseudomonadati; Pseudomonadota; Gammaproteobacteria; Enterobacterales; Enterobacteriaceae. The record is from RNAcentral.
GGGUUGUGAGGUUAAGCGACUAAGCGUACACGGUGGAUGCCCUGGCAGUCAGAGGCGAUGAAGGACGUGCUAAUCUGCGAAAAGCGUCGGUAAGGUGAUAUGAACCGUUAUAACCGGCGAUGUCCGAAUGGGGAAACCCAGUGUGAUUCGUCACACUAUCGUUAACUGAAUACAUAGGUUAACGAGGCGAACCGGGGGAACUGAAACAUCUAAGUACCCCGAGGAAAAGAAAUCAACCGAGAUUCCCCCAGUAGCGGCGAGCGAACGGGGAGCAGCCCAGAGUCUGAAUCAGCUUGUGUGUUAGUGGAACGGUCUGGAAAGUCCGACGGUACAGGGUGAUAGUCCCGUACACCAAAAUGCACAGGUUGUGAACUCGAAGAGUAGGGCGGGACACGUGGUAUCCUGUCUGAAUAUGGGGGGACCAUCCUCCAAGGCUAAAUACUCCUGACUG